Molecule: ribosomal RNA, 229 nt
Filed under: uncultured bacterium
Lineage: Bacteria
Description: partial 16S ribosomal RNA
Rfam family: Bacterial small subunit ribosomal RNA
Source: RNAcentral
UGCGCAGGCGGGCUUGUAAGUCAGUGGUGAAAUCUUGCCGCUUAACGGUAAAAUUGCCAUUGAUACUGCAAGUCUUGAAUAUGGUUGAGGUAGGCGGAAUGUGUCGUGUAGCGGUGAAAUGCAUAGAUAUGACACAGAACACCAAUUGCGAAGGCAGCUUACUAAGCCAUUAUUGACGCUGAGGCACGAAAGCGUGGGGAGCGAACAGGAUUAGAUACCCUGGUAGUCC